RNAcentral lists this long non-coding RNA (226 nucleotides) under Lathyrus oleraceus (garden pea). RNAcentral describes it as "Pisum sativum (pea) long non-coding RNA (PSAT_LNC009022)". Lineage: Eukaryota; Viridiplantae; Streptophyta; Magnoliopsida; Fabales; Fabaceae. The record is from RNAcentral.
AAAAAAUAAAAAAAUAAAAAUGCAAUUUAUUCUGAUUUUGUUAAAAAUAGAAAUAAAAGGUAAAAAGAGGAAAAAGUGGGAAAACUAAGAUUCGAACCAGAGACCUCAUGAUUGUACCUCCUCAAAUUCUCACUUUACUACCAAAUGGGUCAUCUCAUUCAUUUGAGAUAAAAUACGACUAAAAUCCAUAUAAUAGUAUAAUACCCAGACAAAAUUAGGGUAUGAC